CCAAGAUCUCUCUUCCUUCCUCCUCCUCCUCCUUCUCCUCCAGUCGUCUCCUCCGGCCAGCGCGAGCGAGCGAGCUUGAGAGAGGUUGGUACCCUGCAGGUAGGCAUGGACGGCCACCGCUGCGGGGCGCGCCGAAUUCUGGCGCUCGAGGCGGCGUUCAAGAAAUGCCCCCACCCCGACGAGACCCAGGUCGCUAAUCUCAGCCGCGAAACCGGCCUGACUCCCCAGCAGAUUAAAUACUGGUUCCAGACCCGGCGGGCGCAGAUCAAGGGAUCUUCGUCGAACAUGAGGCCUCCGACCCAGGGAUCUUCAUCGUCGGAUCCUUGAUGCUCUCAUCGACAACUUCGGGGAGGCUGAUGGUGGCUGAUGUUCCUCACUAUCGUGGUCUUCCUCAGCUUAGUGUUUGUGUGUGUUUCGGCUUGUUAGCCAAGGACCCCCUUCGGAUUUGUAUCGUGUGUGUGUGUGUGUUGGCUCUUGAGCAUUGAGCCCGCCUGGAACCUAAUGGGUUUGUAU
Triticum aestivum (bread wheat) is the source of this 513-nucleotide long non-coding RNA. RefSeq lists it as uncharacterized. The transcript is spliced from 3 exons. The record is from RefSeq and is a predicted model, not a curated record. Lineage: Eukaryota; Viridiplantae; Streptophyta; Magnoliopsida; Poales; Poaceae.